GACGAACGCUGGCGGCGUGCUUAACACAUGCAAGUCGAACGGAAAGGCCCUGCUUUUGUGGGGUGCUCGAGUGGCGAACGGGUGAGUAACACGUGAGUAACCUGCCCUUGACUUUGGGAUAACUUCAGGAAACUGGGGCUAAUACCGGAUAGGAGCUCCUGCUGCAUGGUGGGGGUGGGAAAGUUUCGGCGGUUGGGGAUGGACUCGCGGCUUAUCAGCUUGUUGGUGGGGUAGUGGCUUACCAAGGCUUUGACGGGUAGCCGGCCUGAGAGGGUGACCGGCCACAUUGGGACUGAGAUACGGCACAGCCUCCUACGGGAGGCAGCAGUGGGGAAUAUUGCACAAUGGGAGGAAGCCUGAUGCAGCACCGCCGCGUGCGGGAUGACGGCCUUCGGGUUGUAAACCGCUUUCGCCUGUGACGAAGCGUGAGUGACGGUAAUGGGUAAAGAAGCACCGGCUAACUACGUG
RNAcentral lists this ribosomal RNA (468 nucleotides) under uncultured bacterium. Its description in RNAcentral is "partial 16S ribosomal RNA". It matches the Rfam family "Bacterial small subunit ribosomal RNA", at positions 28 to 507 of the family's 1533-position model. The record is from RNAcentral.